Molecule: long non-coding RNA, 766 nt
Filed under: Ananas comosus (pineapple)
Lineage: Eukaryota; Viridiplantae; Streptophyta; Magnoliopsida; Poales; Bromeliaceae
Description: long non-coding RNA (ACOM_LNC025762)
Source: RNAcentral
UUUCAUUUUCGUUUUCCGCGUGUGAACGGCGGAAAACGAAAAUGCCGAGCGCGGAGCCAAAAUUGCGGCUCAUGGGGCGGUGCUUUUUCAUGGGGUCCACGAGACCACUUCGGCCACAUGAGAGGGAGGUCCACGAUGGACCUUCCUCUUUAUAUAUAUAUAGAGUUGAGCUAGAAUACUUUCGAUAGCAAGCCGGUAUUUUUGCCACCCAUUUGUUUUCGAUGAUGGAGCCUUCAAAUUGAUAAUCGACACCGUUGAAUAUGAUCUAUACCAUUUAAAGUAUUUAGAAAUCAAAUUUCAUAUAUUUUCGAUAUUGUUCUCUUAUCCAUCGAGUAGACACAAAAAUGAACGGCUGAAAAUGAAUAUUCUUAAAAAAAUGAUGAUAGGAGUCUUGUAAUCAAGAUCAAGAGUAUAGAUCUUGUUUUAAAUAGUUUAAAGAAUUUUCUAACAAAAAUUCAAUUGAUUUGGAUAUCUUUACGCCGUUAAACGAGAAAACGCCUCAUAUCAACCAUUAAAAUUACAAAUUUUGAAACCCUUUGAUCAUUAGGCAAAUGAUGUCGAAAAGAUUUGAAAUUUGAUUUCUAAACACUUCAAGUGGUAUAGAUCAUGUUCAACGGUGCCGAUCGUCGAUUUGGAGGCUCCAUCAUCGAAAACAAAUGGGUGGCAACGGAGCCCGUUUGCUAUCGAUAGUAUUCUAGCUCAACUCUAUAUAUAUAUAUAUAUAUAUAUAUAUAUAUAUAGCUAGUCUCCUAUACUAUCUAUAGUA